Molecule: unclassified non-coding RNA, 229 nt
Filed under: Hevea brasiliensis (rubber tree)
Lineage: Eukaryota; Viridiplantae; Streptophyta; Magnoliopsida; Malpighiales; Euphorbiaceae
Source: RNAcentral
CGGCAAGUAAUUCAGCGUGGUGACGAUCGACCAGCGGUCCAUCUGCCCCUGGUUGAUCUGCUGGGUACCGUGAUAGAGGCCCGACGUGUCGCCGAGACCGAUGGUGUUGGCGGGCGGGAGAACGCCGGAUGCGGCUUGAUGACCUUGUUCUGGUCGAGCAGCGUGAGGCGGCCGGAGACUUCGAGCACGCGCUGGAUCACGAACAUCACGUCCGGGCGGCCGGCAUCGU